RNAcentral lists this ribosomal RNA (497 nucleotides) under uncultured bacterium. Its description in RNAcentral is "partial 16S ribosomal RNA". It matches the Rfam family "Bacterial small subunit ribosomal RNA", at positions 28 to 507 of the family's 1533-position model. The record is from RNAcentral.
GACGAACGCUGGCGGCGUGCCUAAUACAUGCAAGUAGAACGCUGAAGAGAGGAGCUUGCUCUUCUUGGAUGAGUUGCGAACGGGUGAGUAACGCGUGGGUAACCUGCCUGGUAGCGGGGGAUAACUAUUGGAAACGAUAGCUAAUACCGCAUAACAACAGUUGUUGCAUGACAGCUGUUUAAAAGAUGCAAUUGCAUCACUACCAGAUGGACCUGCGUUGUAUUAGCUAGUUGGUGAGGUAACGGCUCACCAAGGCGACGAUACAUAGCCGACCUGAGAGGGUGAUCGGCCACACUGGGACUGAGACACGGCCCAGACUCCUACGGGAGGCAGCAGUAGGGAAUCUUCGGCAAUGGGGGGAACCCUGACCGAGCAACGCCGCGUGAGUGAAGAAGGUUUUCGGAUCGUAAAGCUCUGUUGUAAGAGAAGAACGGGUGUGAGAGUGGAAAGUUCACACUGUGACGGUAUCUUACCAGAAAGGGACGGCUAACUACGUG